RNAcentral lists this ribosomal RNA (499 nucleotides) under uncultured bacterium. RNAcentral describes it as "partial 16S ribosomal RNA". It matches the Rfam family "Bacterial small subunit ribosomal RNA", at positions 30 to 523 of the family's 1533-position model. The record is from RNAcentral.
AUUGAACGCUAGCGGGAUGCCUUACACAUGCAGUCGAACGGCAGCGCGGACUUCGGUCUGGCGGCGAGUGGCGAACGGGUGAGUAAUGUAUCGGAGCGUGCCCAGUAGCGGGGGAUAACUACUCGAAAGAGUAGCUAAUACCGCAUACGCCCUACGGGGGAAAGGGGGGGAUCGCAAGACCUCUCACUAUUGGAGCGGCCGAUAACGGAUUAGCUAGUUGGUGAGGUAAAGGCUCACCAAGGCGACGAUCCGUAGCUGGUUUGAGAGGACGACCAGCCACACUGGGACUGAGACACGGCCCAGACUCCUACGGGAGGCAGCAGUGGGGAAUUUUGGACAAUGGGGGAAACCCUGAUCCAGCCAUUCCGCGUGUGCGAUGAAGGCCUUCGGGUUGUAAAGCACUUUUGGCAGGAAAGAAAUCGCAUCAAUUAAUACUUGGUGUGGAUGACGGUACCUGCAGAAUAAGCACCGGCUAACUACGUGCCAGCAGCCGCCGCCG